UUUGAAAAUCUUUUAUUCCAAAUUAUACACACAUAAAAAGACUGGGGGUAAAGAUUUAUUUGCUUGCCAUUUGCAUCAUACUCUCUCCCCCAACUAAGGGUUUUCUCUUGUUAUAAAAUAAAGCAAUUCUUGUCUUGAAUUUCUUCCUUUCAGGGAUUCAGUCAAAAUCUUUCAGAAUACUAGUGCACUUGGCACAGAAAACUUUUAAGUAGUUUAUCAGAUUGAGCAUUUGUGACUGGAAGGAUCCCAGGGAGAGAGAAAACUAUUAAUGAAAAGUACCAGGCAGUUUAAACUCCCAUCACACUGUUUUCCAGUAGUUCUGAGAAGGCUGUGCCUCUUAUGUUUUUACUUCAUGUCUUUUAUAUUUAGGAAAGAUUUUUUCCUUACCAAAGUGAAUCUAUUAAUCACUCAGCUCCCUACUUAAACUUAUCAACAAUAAAUGUCAAAUUAGAACUCAUGAUAAACAUGAGAUGACAAUUGUGUUCUGGCAGAGACAAAUCCAACGAUGAAACCUUAUAG
This 519-nucleotide long non-coding RNA is filed under the name Bos taurus (domestic cattle). RNAcentral describes it as "long non-coding RNA NONBTAT025412". The record is from RNAcentral. Lineage: Eukaryota; Metazoa; Chordata; Mammalia; Artiodactyla; Bovidae.